RNAcentral lists this ribosomal RNA (497 nucleotides) under uncultured bacterium. RNAcentral describes it as "partial 16S ribosomal RNA". It matches the Rfam family "Bacterial small subunit ribosomal RNA", at positions 28 to 507 of the family's 1533-position model. The record is from RNAcentral.
GAUGAACGCUGGCGGCGUGCCUAAUACAUGCAAGUCGAGCGAACAGACGAGGAGCUUGCUCCUCUGACGUUAGCGGCGGACGGGUGAGUAACACGUGGAUAACCUACCUAUAAGACUGGGAUAACUUCGGGAAACCGGAGCUAAUACCGGAUAAUAUCUUGAACCGCAUGGUUCAAUAGUGAAAGACGGUUUUGCUGUCACUUAUAGAUGGAUCCGCGCCGCAUUAGCUAGUUGGUAAGGUAACGGCUUACCAAGGCAACGAUGCGUAGCCGACCUGAGAGGGUGAUCGGCCACACUGGAACUGAGACACGGUCCAGACUCCUACGGGAGGCAGCAGUAGGGAAUCUGCCGCAGUGGGCGAAAGCCUGACGGAGCAACGCCGCGUGAGUGAUGAAGGUCUUCGGAGCGUAAAACUCUGUUAGUAGGGAAGAACAAAUGUGUAAGUAACUAUGCACGUCGUGACGGUACCUAAUCAGAAAGCCACGGCUAACUACGUG